UACGCAGGGUGCAAACGUUGCUCGGAAUUAUUGGGCGUAAAGCGCACGUAGGUGGCUUAGUAAGUCGGAUGUGAAAUCCCCAGGCUUAACCUGGGAACUGCAUUCGAAACUGCUUUGCUAGAGUAUGGGAGAGGGCAGUGGAAUUUCAGGUGUAGCGGUGAAAUGCGUAGAUAUCUGAAGGAACAUCAGUGGCGAAAGCGACUGCCUGGACCAAUACUGACGCUCAUGUGCGAAAGCGUGGGGAGCAAACAGG
This 253-nucleotide ribosomal RNA is filed under the name uncultured bacterium. Its description in RNAcentral is "partial 16S ribosomal RNA". It matches the Rfam family "Bacterial small subunit ribosomal RNA", at positions 524 to 776 of the family's 1533-position model. The record is from RNAcentral.